Anthonomus grandis grandis is the source of this 1211-nucleotide long non-coding RNA. RefSeq lists it as uncharacterized. The record is from RefSeq and is a predicted model, not a curated record. NCBI's taxonomy places the organism in Eukaryota, Metazoa, Arthropoda, Insecta, Coleoptera, Curculionidae. The transcript has 5 exons.
AAAGGGAGACGAAUCUGAAGAGGCUCCAGACCCCAUGACUAUUCUUGACAAUGUUAAUGACAAUGCUUUUUUUGAGCAAAAUCCAGAAUUAUCCUUUCAACCCAAGCCUGAUCAAGAAAUUAUUGUUAAUAAAUUAGCGGGACAUGAAGCUACGGUACAUUUACAAACAAACGGAGACGAACCUAAAAAUGAUCCAGAAACAAUUAUGACCUACACUAUUCUCGAAAAUGUUAUUGACAGUGUUAUUUCUGUGGUAACUCAAAAUCCAGAGGUAUCUCUGCAACCCAAAGGUGAUCAAGAAGUUAUUAUCAAUGAACCAUUAGCAGGAGGAGCCACUGAAACUACCGACCUUGAUAAAGACAACAUCCCUAUUAUUAUUAUACAACCAAAUGGAACAGUUGUUUCUAAUGAGGAAUUCAUUCAGUGCUGCGGUAGGUAAGGAUAAAGACCUUGACUUCCUGAUGAACGAAAGUGUUCUGGAAAGAAAGUGCUAAAAUUAUGACGUUUCCAUUUGAUAAUAAUAGUUCAAGUAUAGAAAGUUAUGAUCCCCAGUCUAAGCAAACAGUGGCAACUCUUCAGAACAGUAAAUCCACAUGAUAGAUAAACAAGCAAUGGCUAUGAAUAUUGACAGAGAAGAUAAUGAUAAUAAUGAAGAAGACAUUAGUUCAGAAGAUCAAAGCAGUGAUCGGGCUAGCACUGGUUUGUCCAAACAUAAAAUCAAAAAACCAAAUAAAAGGCUAGAAAAAAAAAACUAAAGAGUUCUGGUGUAAAUAAAGCAGUAAAGGCGAAUCCAUGUGCCGUGAAAAAAUGUCAGAAUAAUUGUAAAUCGGUAAGUGAAACUGACAGAAAGCAAAUAUUUAAUGCCUAUUAUUAUAUAUAUAUCUAAUAUAUAUAUAUAUAUAGUAGUAUGUCAUAUCAAGGAUAUUACUGUGGGAGUUACAGCCGUGUAUAAGCCACCUCCUAUUUCAAAAGAUCUUUUUAUUCAGGAUUUGGAAGAAUUCUUAAGUUUAAAUAACAAUAAUCAACAACUAGAAAUAUUUACUGGGAACGUUAAUAUAGAUCUAUUAAAUCUUGAAGAUAAUAAUGUUAUUAAGUAUUCAACUGUAAUGUCACAAUCGGGCUAUUUAUCUUAUAUAAAUUCAAUUACACGACCAGACAUCAAAACUAAUUUAGAUCACAUUUUCUUAAAAUGUAAAAAUAUUCCCGUAAAA